Molecule: long non-coding RNA, 437 nt
Organism: Oncorhynchus tshawytscha (Chinook salmon)
Lineage: Eukaryota; Metazoa; Chordata; Actinopteri; Salmoniformes; Salmonidae
Source: Ensembl
GAAAAGGAUGUGGUCAGAGUGAAAAGGAUGUGGUCAGAGUGAAAAGGAUGUGGUCAGAGUGAAAAGGAUGUGGUCAGAGUGAAAAGGAUGUGGUCAGCGGAGGGAAGGAUGUGGUCAGAGUGGGAAGGAUGUGGUCAGCAGAGGGAAGGAUGAGGUCAGCAGAGGGAAGGAUGAGGUCAGCAGAGGGAAGGAUGUGGUCAGCAGAGGGAAGGAUGUGGUCAGCAGAGGGAAGGAUGUGGUCAGAGUGGGAAGGAUGUGGUCAGAGUGGGAAGGAUGAGGUCAGCAGAGGGAAGGAUGAGGUCAGCAGAGGGAAGGAUGUGGGAAGGAUGAGGUCAGCAGAGGGAAGGAUGAGGUCAGAGUGGGAAGGAUGAGGUCAGAGUGGGAAGGAUGAGGUCAGAGUGGGAAGGAUGAGGUCAGAGUGGGAAGGAUGAGGUCAG